GAUCACAUUACUAAAAUUUAAUGUGGUUAAACGUAGAUUUAAGCGAAGUUAACGGCAGAUGUAUCUAGCAGCGGGGAGCCCCUGACGUCACUUAGAACAGUUGCAAUUCUCGCGCAUCCGUCACUUUGCUACAGCUUGGCUAGCCAGCUACAACUGCUCUUUCGCUCUGUUAUAAAUCUUUGCUAUUGCGUGUUAUUAUUACUUGUUACUUUACUCAACAUGCCUCGGCUAACUAGAAAUAGUAUGGAAACGUCAACGAGCAACAAUAUUGCUAGCACUAGCUCCGCUCCUCCGCCGUCG
Molecule: non-coding RNA, 300 nt
Organism: Paramuricea clavata
Lineage: Eukaryota; Metazoa; Cnidaria; Anthozoa; Malacalcyonacea; Plexauridae
Source: the annotation of a GenBank genome assembly